AGCAGUCGCCGCGGUAAUACGAGGGGAGCAAGCGUUGUUCGGAAUUAUUGGGCGUAAAGGGUGCGUAGGCGGCUUGACAAGUCUUGUGUGAAAUCUAUGGGCUCAACCCAUAGUCUGCACGGGAAACUGUCGGGCUUGAGAAUGGGAGAGGUGAGUGGAAUUUCCGGUGUAGCGGUGAAAUGCGUAGAUAUCGGAAGGAACACCUGUGGCGAAAGCGGCUCACUGGACAUUUACUGACGCUGAUGCACGAAAGCUAGGGGAGCAAACAGGAUUAGAGACCCCCGUAGUCCCUGUCUCUUAUAC
This 303-nucleotide ribosomal RNA is filed under the name uncultured bacterium. RNAcentral describes it as "partial 16S ribosomal RNA". It matches the Rfam family "Bacterial small subunit ribosomal RNA", at positions 507 to 807 of the family's 1533-position model. The record is from RNAcentral.